RNAcentral lists this long non-coding RNA (418 nucleotides) under Elaeis guineensis (African oil palm). Its description in RNAcentral is "long non-coding RNA (EGUI_LNC056343)". The record is from RNAcentral. Lineage: Eukaryota; Viridiplantae; Streptophyta; Magnoliopsida; Arecales; Arecaceae.
GUACUAAUCGAUGUUACUAUCUAGUAAUAGUUUUUGACAUCUGGAUAGGCCAAAUAUAUGCCUAGCAACACUCUAGAAUCUAUAUAGAUAUAGUUACCAUAUAAUUCAUCUUUUUGACUCUCGAUGCUCCAGGAUGACUAAGAGCUAAACUGUCAGCCCAGAAUGAGUAGUCCACAUUAUGUUUCAAUCUCAAAAUUUCUAUGACUCCUCACUAGGAUUGCUUUGGUCAAAAUUUUACUAAAUUGAAAUACAAUGAUAUAUUAUCUCUAAUUUUACUUAAAGCGGUCAAUCCCAUCUUAACUCGCACUCAGACUUCACAAAUACUUGACUGUACCUAAAAAUCUUUCAUCAUCGACUUAAAAAUUUGGAUAGUCUAGCACCAAAGCACAGUGAGUUGCUUGCAAGUCACCGAGACAGU